This 581-nucleotide ribosomal RNA is filed under the name bacterium enrichment culture. Its description in RNAcentral is "bacterial SSU rRNA". It matches the Rfam family "Bacterial small subunit ribosomal RNA", at positions 19 to 595 of the family's 1533-position model. The record is from RNAcentral.
CUGGCUCAGAUUGAACGCUGGCGGCAUGCCUUACACAUGCAAGUCGAACGGCAGCGCGGGAGCAAUCCUGGCGGCGAGUGGCGAACGGGUGAGUAAUACAUCGGAACGUGCCCAAUCGUGGGGGAUAACGCAGCGAAAGCUGUGCUAAUACCGCAUACGAUCUACGGAUGAAAGCAGGGGAUCGCAAGACCUUGCGCGAAUGGAGCGGCCGAUGGCAGAUUAGGUAGUUGGUGAGGUAAAGGCUCACCAAGCCUUCGAUCUGUAGCUGGUCUGAGAGGACGACCAGCCACACUGGGACUGAGACACGGCCCAGACUCCUACGGGAGGCAGCAGUGGGGAAUUUUGGACAAUGGGCGCAAGCCUGAUCCAGCCAUGCCGCGUGCAGGAUGAAGGCCUUCGGGUUGUAAACUGCUUUUGUACGGAACGAAACGGCCUUUUCUAAUAAAGAAGGCUAAUGACGGUACCGUAAGAAUAAGCACCGGCUAACUACGUGCCAGCAGCCGCGGUAAUACGUAGGGUGCAAGCGUUAAUCGGAAUUACUGGGCGUAAAGCGUGCGCAGGCGGUUAUGUAAGACAGUUGU